CUUCAUUCAUUACAAAACAUAGAGCCACAUCACCAUCACUUCAACCUUCAGCCCAACCAAAAAUAGAAACCCUAAUUUUUUUCUAAAAAUCUAACCCUAGCGCCGCCACACCUAAACUCUCAGGCCACCACCGCAAUCACCACAUACCUGCAAACGAAACCCAGAAGACCAUUACCAUGACGCGGCUGCGACCACCUCCACGCACCACCAUCUUCACGCGCGCCUUCACCAUCAUCUUCUUCCCAGUUCGCGCUGCCACCAUAGCGAUUGAGGGUUUCGAUUUGGGGGUUUUUGUUGUGUUAUCUGGUUUUUGUAAAUUGGAAUGUAUGAUUUUCGUUUCAAAAUUGAUUUGGGGAAUUCUUGGUUCUUCCCUGUUUUGCGAGUGGUUAGGGAUUUUGUUCUUCCCUACAUGUAUGGGUUUUGCGAAGUGGGGGAUGAGGGUUCAAAUUGGGAAUGUUAGGGUUUCUGAACUUGGGGUUUUUUGUUUUGGGUUCAUUUGAUUCGCGAUAAUGGGCUUCGUGGUGGUUGUUGUUGGAUGCACGGGUGGCGCCAAUGAAGGUGCUGGUAGGUGGCCAUGGGUGGUGUUAUUGGGUGGUUGUUGGACAGAGAAAAUGGAGGUGAGAAGAUGGUGGCUGGUCGUGACCGUGG
Molecule: long non-coding RNA, 648 nt
Filed under: Vigna radiata
Lineage: Eukaryota; Viridiplantae; Streptophyta; Magnoliopsida; Fabales; Fabaceae
Description: long non-coding RNA (VRAD_LNC009404)
Source: RNAcentral